RNAcentral lists this long non-coding RNA (516 nucleotides) under Zostera marina. RNAcentral describes it as "long non-coding RNA (ZMAR_LNC002688)". Lineage: Eukaryota; Viridiplantae; Streptophyta; Magnoliopsida; Alismatales; Zosteraceae. The record is from RNAcentral.
UCAUGUGUUCGAGUAUAACUCCUGUUCGAUCACCAGACACAACACCGACAUCGUUGCUGGAUCAAAACCCAACUGCAGAUUGUCUCUUCGUUCAUCUCCCCCGUGCAAGAUCCAACCAAUCCGCAGCGCUCAUCGUCCACAUAUCGGCCUGGAAAGUCAUGAAGAGAAACAACAGAGUUUAGACAACUCGCCACCGCUCAAGAUCGCUAUACUCGGCUUUGGGAACUUUGGCCAGUUCAUGGCCAAAGGUAUUCAGAGGCAGGGCCACAUUGUUCUUGCCACCUCACGCUCUGAUUACUCCGACUACUGCCGUGACAACGGCAUGGUCUUCUUCAGGUUCGUAUGGAAUUGAGUUAUAUACUUACCUAUCUACCUACCUACUUACCCACCAUCGUGCUCUUUCUUUUUUUCUUUUCUUUUUUAAUUUUUGUCGUUCUGAUCUAUAGGAAUGUGGAGGAGAUGUGUGAGGAACAACCGGACGUGAUCUUGAUUUGCAGCUCUAUUCUUUCGAUGGAG